CAAGUAGGGUAAUCUUCCACAAUGGGCGAAAGCCUGAUGGAGCAACGCCGCGUGUGUGAUGAAGGGUUUCGGCUCGUAAAACACUGUUGUAAGAGAAGAAUGACAUUGAGAGUAACUGUUCAAUGUGUGACGGUAUCUUACCAGAAAGGAACGGCUAAAUACGUGCCAG
Molecule: ribosomal RNA, 169 nt
Filed under: uncultured bacterium
Lineage: Bacteria
Description: partial 16S ribosomal RNA
Rfam family: Bacterial small subunit ribosomal RNA
Source: RNAcentral